UACAAUGUAGAGUUUGAUCCUGGCUCAGGAUGAACGCUAGCUACAGGCUUAACACAUGCAAGUCGCAGGGUAACGUGAGGGAAGCUUGCUUCCCUUGACGACGACUGGCGCACGGGUGAGUAACGCGUAUCCAACCUUCCCAUGACCACGGGAUAACCCGUUGAAAGACGGACUAAUACCGUAUGACGUCGUUUGCUGACAUCAAAUAACGAUUAAAGGUUUGGCGGUGAUGGAUGGGGAUGCGUCUGAUUAGCUUGUUGGCGGGGUAACGGCCCACCAAGGCGACGAUCAGUAGGGGUUCUGAGAGGAAGGUCCCCCACAUUGGAACUGAGACACGGU
RNAcentral lists this ribosomal RNA (339 nucleotides) under Hoylesella buccalis. RNAcentral describes it as "bacterial SSU rRNA". It matches the Rfam family "Bacterial small subunit ribosomal RNA", at positions 1 to 330 of the family's 1533-position model. Lineage: Bacteria; Pseudomonadati; Bacteroidota; Bacteroidia; Bacteroidales; Prevotellaceae. The record is from RNAcentral.